This 468-nucleotide ribosomal RNA is filed under the name uncultured bacterium. RNAcentral's name for it is "partial 16S ribosomal RNA". It matches the Rfam family "Bacterial small subunit ribosomal RNA", at positions 28 to 507 of the family's 1533-position model. The record is from RNAcentral.
GACGAACGCUGGCGGCGUGCUUAACACAUGCAAGUCGAACGGAAAGGCCCUGCUUUUGUUGGGUGCUCGAGUGGCGAACGGGUGAGUAACACGUGAGUAACCUGCCCUUGACUUUGGGAUAACUUCAGGAAACUGGGGCUAAUACCGGAUAGGAGCUCCUGCUGCAUGGUGGGGGUUGGACAGUUUCGGCGGUUGGGGAUGGACUGGCGGCUUAUCAGCUUGUUGGUGGGGUAGUGGCUUACCAAGGCUUUGACGGGUAGCCGGCCUGAGAGGGUGACCGGCGACAAGGGGACUGAGAUACGGCCCAGACUCCUACGGGAGGCAGCAGGGGGGAAUAUUGCACAAUGAGGGGAAGCCUGAGGAAGCAACGCCGCGUGCGGGAUGACGGCCUUCGGGGUGUAAACCGCUUUCGCCUGUGACGAAGCGUGAGUGACGGUAAUGGGUAAAGAAGCACCGGCUAACUACGUG